Molecule: ribosomal RNA, 492 nt
Filed under: uncultured bacterium
Lineage: Bacteria
Description: partial 16S ribosomal RNA
Rfam family: Bacterial small subunit ribosomal RNA
Source: RNAcentral
AUUGAACGCUGGCGGCAUGCUUUACACAUGCAAGUCGAACGGUAACAGGCCUUCGGGUGCUGACGAGUGGCGAACGGGUGAGUAAUGCAUCGGAACGUGCCCAGAGGUGGGGGAUAACGCAGCGAAAGCUGUGCUAAUACCGCAUGUGAUCUGAGGAUGAAAGCGGGGGACCAAGCAGCAAUGUUUGGCCUCGCGCCUCUGGAGCGGCCGAUGUCAGAUUAGGUAGUUGGUGGGGUAAAGGCCUACCAAGCCGACGAUCUGUAGCUGGUCUGAGAGGACGACCAGCCACACUGGGACUGAGACACGGCCCAGACUCCUACGGGAGGCAGCAGUGGGGAAUUUUGGACAAUGGGCGCAAGCCUGAUCCAGCAAUGCCGCGUGCGGGAAGAAGGCCUUCGGGUUGUAAACCGCUUUUGUACGGAAAGAAAAGGCUCUGGCUAAUACCUGGGGCUGAUGACGGUACCGAAAGAAUAAGCACCGGCUAACUACGUG